RNAcentral lists this ribosomal RNA (465 nucleotides) under uncultured bacterium. RNAcentral's name for it is "bacterial SSU rRNA". It matches the Rfam family "Bacterial small subunit ribosomal RNA", at positions 331 to 793 of the family's 1533-position model. The record is from RNAcentral.
CCAGACUCCUACGGGAGGCAGCAGUGAGGAAUAUUGGUCAAUGGGCUUACGCCUGAACCAGCCAAGUCGCGUGAGGGAAGACUGCCCUAUGGGUUGUAAACCUCUUUUGUCAGGGAGCAACGCCGGCUACGUGUAGCCGGACUGAGAGUACCUGAAGAAAAAGCAUCGGCUAACUCCGUGCCAGCAGCCGCGGUAAUACGGAGGAUGCGAGCGUUAUCCGGAUUUAUUGGGUUUAAAGGGUGCGUAGGCGGAAUGCCAAGUCAGCGGUAAAAAUGCGGAGCUCAACUCCGUCGAGCCGUUGAAGCUGCCGUUCUUGAGUGAGCGAGAAGUAUGCGGAAUGCGUGGUGUAGCGGUGAAAUGCAUAGAUAUCACGCAGAACCCCGAUUGCGAAGGCAGCAUACCGGCGCUCAACUGACGCUGAAGCACGAAGGCGUGGGUAUCGAACAGGAUUAGAUACCCUCGUAC